AAAUUGAAGAGUUUGAUCAUGGCUCAGAUUGAACGCUGGCGGCAGGCCUAACACAUGCAAGUCGAGCGGAAACGACACUAACAAUCCUUCGGGUGCGUUAAUGGGCGUCGAGCGGCGGACGGGUGAGUAAUGCCUAGGAAAUUGCCUUGAUGUGGGGGAUAACCAUUGGAAACGAUGGCUAAUACCGCAUGAUGCCUACGGGCCAAAGAGGGGGACCUUCGGGCCUCUCGCGUCAAGAUAUGCCUAGGUGGGAUUAGCUAGUUGGUGAGGUAAUGGCUCACCAAGGCGACGAUCCCUAGCUGGUCUGAGAGGAUGAUCAGCCACACUGGAACUGAGACACGGUCCAGACUCCUACGGGAGGCAGCAGUGGGGAAUAUUGCACAAUGGGCGCAAGCCUGAUGCAGCCAUGCCGCGUGUAUGAAGAAGGCCUUCGGGUUGUAAAGUACUUUCAGUUGUGAGGAAGGGGGUA
RNAcentral lists this ribosomal RNA (469 nucleotides) under Vibrio toranzoniae. Its description in RNAcentral is "Bacterial small subunit ribosomal RNA". It matches the Rfam family "Bacterial small subunit ribosomal RNA", at positions 1 to 456 of the family's 1533-position model. Lineage: Bacteria; Pseudomonadati; Pseudomonadota; Gammaproteobacteria; Vibrionales; Vibrionaceae. The record is from Rfam by way of RNAcentral.